This is a long non-coding RNA of Corythoichthys intestinalis (scribbled pipefish), 1887 nucleotides long. RefSeq lists it as uncharacterized. Lineage: Eukaryota; Metazoa; Chordata; Actinopteri; Syngnathiformes; Syngnathidae. The record is from RefSeq and is a predicted model, not a curated record. The transcript has 4 exons.
AAAUGCUAACAUUCAAAUUAAUUAAAUGUGAUAAGUGAACUAAACUCAAUUUUCAUCAACCUGUUGUGAACACUACUUUUAAAUAAGUAAGUAGUAAUUUGGGGUUGGAGAACUUGCUUAACUUGAUAUAUCCCAGUUAAGUCAAAUUAGAAAAAAUAAUUUCUUGUACCCAGUGUCCUUUGGGCGUUCUAUCAGACAUGCGCAGAUCUGCCCUGCCCACUUUCGCGCUCUUUCCAACACCUUUCUCAGUUAUUUUCGCCAUUGUGGGUUUACUUGUCCUCAGCACACUGAUUUGGUAAGUACAUAUUUUACUCUUUUGUAAACCGUCGAUUUGUCUUGUUGUAGUGUAGUAGCCUGUGUGCUGCCAGGGAGGAGAAGUGUCAAUUACAUCAAAUAUCACCGCUAGCAAGCAUGCUAUAUGACCGUGACAGUAACCUCAUCAUUUUCAGAAACAAAUGUAGACUACAGUUUAUGGUAGACUCCCAUUUUAUGCCGGCCGGCGUUUUGAAUUCUUGACAGACGGGGCUCGUAACGUUUUUAGGCGAUGGGAGAGGUUUUUAAAACCGAUUUAAAACAGUUACCGAGCGGUUUUAAGUUAGCUAGACCGAGGGGAGGUUCGCUUCCUGUUUUAAAAAUAAAAACACUAAUUCUAUCGUUAGCGGGUCUUUUAUUUUGUGAAACUAACAGGAAGUGCCUUAAUCACUACGGCUAGCUUGAGUAGCGCCGAAUUUGCACGUUGUGGAUCUAAACGGCUACUUUCUCGCGUAAAAAUGUUAGAAAUGUCGAUAAAGUGAUUUAUUUACAGAGUUAGUGCUAGAAUUAAGUCAGCUUCAGCCUGUCUAUUUCGGCUCAGGUAAGAGCUAAAUGCACAGUCAGACCUUAUGUGCGCCAACGUAAUCGGUUCUUGCGUUGGAGCAGGGGUCCCCAAACUACGGCCCGCGGGCCGGCCGGAUACGGCCCGCCUCCACAAUUGGUCCGGCCCCCUGAACCCCCCCCCAAUAGUGUUAUUAUUUCCUGGCUUUUUUCUGUGAAGAACCCAGACAGGGUUAUUUGGUUAUUAUCUAUUUAAUUAAUUGUGUUAUUAUUAUUCAUUAUUAUAUGAUAUUAUAUUAUGUUAUAAUUAUUUUUAUUUUAUUUUGUUCCAAGAAGAAUUCAGAAAGGGUUAUUUAAUUAUGGCUUUCUGAAAAACAAUAAUUUUUUUACAUUUAGGCACUGCUGCAAUCGUCACACUUUUUCUGUUACAAACUGACCCGGCCCCUCAUCAGAGAAGGGAAAAGUCAUGUGGCCUUCACAGGAAAAGGAAUACAGAUCGAAAGAGUGCAGAGAUCACACUCGACGCCAUAACAACCUGGUGUGUUUAAGGCUGAAGCAAAUGGUCAAAAGUCCACACAUACCUCAGUCUCAGCAAUUACAGGUCAACCAAAGCAGUAUUCUCUAAUGCAGUGGACUUGCAAGUACUGCACAUUUUCUGCUGAAAAGAGCCUACUUGCUUAAGCAUUACCGCUUAAAACAUGGAUACCACACUCGGACAUCCCAACUCCCAUGUCUUCAUAAGGACUGCCUCUGCACAUUUAAAUCUUUUAAUGCACUCAAAGUACACCUAUCGACAUGGCACUCUCAAAAAGAUGCAGGCAAAAGUGGAGAAACUGCAUUUGACCGUCAGUUGUGCAACUUUGUGGAGCCCUGCUCAGAAGCAGACUUCUUUACCCAUUUGUCUCAAAUAUUUUUUCACAUUCAAACCUUUUUUUCUACAAUUGUUUUUUUUUUUGUUUUUUUUAAUUGAAGUGAUUUUAUUUUGAAAAUAUACAUUUUUUGUUUGAAGCAACUUAUUUUUGGAUUGAAUAAUAAAGACACAAAUGUCCUAGCCAAAAUGUGGUCCAAACGCAG